AAUGCGUAUGCCAGCUUCCUGCCCCUGCCUCCUCAGCACACUAAGUAAAAGCUAAUUGCAUUAACCCCAAGGGGAAACACUGCUGUGGGAAACAGUCCCAGUGCUCUAUUUGCUGCAAGUGGAUAAAGUCUUCCACACCAGACUGUACGUCUGGGACGUGUUACUGCCUCACACUCUGGGAGGGAAUGGACUCAUUGAGUUCGGGAACAGUCCCGCACGUGAGGGAGUGGAGAAGGGGUGGGUGGAGCCUCAAAGUUGUCAUCAAAGAUCAAAAUGGAACCUUUUUAUUGCAUGUGAUAAGGUCUUUUAAAAAAAAAAAAGACUUUAUUUUAGAGAGAGAGAGAGAGUGAGGGGAGGGACAGAGGGGGGUUGGGAGAGAGAGAAUCUCAAGCCCACUUGCCCUGAGCGUGGAGCGCCCUCCCGACUGGAUCUCACGAACCCAGCCAAAACCAAGAAUCCCACCGCUCAACCGACUAAGCCAUCCAGGCGCCCCAAGGGGAGGUCUUUUUAAGUGUGUUUGUAAGCAAGGGUCGCAGCUCCAUGAGUGGUUUCUCAGCCUCACGCCAACCCCCAACCCAGGGAAGACCUCAGACCCUCUAGUCCGGGUCUGGCAUGGCCUGAUCAGGCGCCCUCUUGCUCUUGAACAAGGGUGUCGCUCCACUGGAACCGACUCUGGAACUUCCUGCGCACACCUGUGUCCCCACGUUUAGAAGGAGCUGCAGGAAGACGCCACUGGCCCUCUAGAGCCUGGAGCAAGUUUUGUCUAAAAACCGAAGGUCGAAGGUCAGAAGAGGGAACCGGCUCCCGACCACCCGCAGAGACCCGUACUCCUAAGCAAUCGGACUUCCUGCCCUGUUGUCACUCAGGACCGGAGGGGCGGGUCCUUGCGAGCUGUCCAAUCAGGGGCGCAGCAGGGGCAGGUGGCUCUGCUGCCGCGUCCAUCGCGCGGUGAGUCGCGCGGGCUGCGGGAACCGUAGGGACAAUGCCGGCGGACCGAGAAGCACUGGAAAUGGACUCGGUGGCCUUGGAGGACGUGACUGUGAACUUCACCCUGAAGGAGUGGGCUCUCCUGAAUCCAUCCCAGAAGAAACUCUACAGAGAUGUGAUGCAGGAAACCCUCGGGAACUGGCCUCAAUAGUGCAGAGAUUAUUGUGCAUUUUAGAAGAAAAAUGGGAAGACCAUGACAAUGAAGAUCAGGACGAAAAUUCUGGGAUGAAUCUGAGCAGACAUACAGUAGAAAGACUCUAUAAAAGAAAACAAGGUUGUCAGUGAGGAAAAACCUUCAUCCAGAUUCCAAAUCGUAAUCAGAGGAAAACUCCUGGAAUAAAACUAUGUAAAUGCACUUUGUGUGGACAAGUGUUCUUGUAUCAUUCAUCCUUCAACAAGCACAUGAGCUCUCACGCUGGUCACAAACCAUGAGUAUCAGGAAUGGGAAGAGAAGCCUCUAGAAAUGCAAGUUGGUGCAGCCACUUUG
Ailuropoda melanoleuca (giant panda) is the source of this 1474-nucleotide long non-coding RNA. RefSeq lists it as uncharacterized. Lineage: Eukaryota; Metazoa; Chordata; Mammalia; Carnivora; Ursidae. The record is from RefSeq and is a predicted model, not a curated record. The transcript is spliced from 5 exons.